AUUGACAGUCCGGUCUGGAAUGAUUGACAGGUCCUAUGGAGGAGGCAGCAGAGACUCUGCUCUCUUCGUUUGGAUUAAUUCUGAUAUAAUAACUGUUGGUUUAUUUAUCGGUGGAGCAGCACAGCAUUUUCCACAGACAGUUUUCCUGCCCGUUGGCUUGUUUUAACCAGUUUUCUACCUUCCGCUGAUUCUACCAGCAGACACUGAAAGGACUUUGAUAGUUCGAGUGAAGGUAGCAGUUCCUCCUUAAGGUCAGAGAUUGCAGCAUCUGAGGACCUCUUCAAAAGAAGACGUAGUUGAUGAAGGCGUUCUGGAGCAGGACCAGAAAGACCACAACCAAGCAGCCUUGAGAUCUUAGGCAGCGUCUCCCUCAGACCAAAGAACUACAGACUCUUCACA
Long non-coding RNA from Amphiprion ocellaris (clown anemonefish), 399 nucleotides. The record is from Ensembl. Lineage: Eukaryota; Metazoa; Chordata; Actinopteri; Pomacentridae.